CGCUGCCCGCGACAUCACAAGAAGUCCACUAAACCUUAUCAUUUAGAGGAAGGAGAAGUCAUAACAAGGUUUCUAUAGGUGAAACUACGAAAGGAUCACUG
This 101-nucleotide ribosomal RNA is filed under the name Eugeissona tristis. RNAcentral describes it as "partial 18S ribosomal RNA". It matches the Rfam family "Eukaryotic small subunit ribosomal RNA", at positions 1731 to 1831 of the family's 1831-position model. Lineage: Eukaryota; Viridiplantae; Streptophyta; Magnoliopsida; Arecales; Arecaceae. The record is from RNAcentral.